AACCUCUGUUCUCCUAUAAAGAGCCUUUGAGACUCCUAUAGUGAGAUUUUUUAGUUCACAAAGAAACACAUUAAAAGAGACCUACGUUUAUCAAGAUCUAUGUUUAGAUUCAGGAUCUUUUUCAGACCAUUCGCGUUUUUCUUCUCCCUUUUUAUUAACUUAUUUUUAGGGGAUUACCGUAACAUAGCCCAUCAUCAACCCCGCGCACACGAUCCCCGAAAUGUAAAGGAAUGUCAAGAACCGUAAUAAUUUAAUAUUUGGAUUGAAACAUUUAAUAACUUAUGAAAUAUUUAUAGCCAUUUUUUGCUAAGGGCUGGCUUUCUUUUAGGGCUCAUUUUGAGAGCGCGCUACAAUGAAAUUGAUUACCCUUAGUAAAUAAUUAACGUAUAGCGUCAGAAAGAUUUUACACAAACAGAAAAACCUCUUCAAAAUUUGUUAUUGUUAACCUGACAUAUCCAACUUCAAGAAAUAACCAGGAAGGAGAUCUGGAAAUAAAAAAGAAAAGUUGUUUUUUCUAAAAAUACUAAAUUAGAGUUUUUAACUCUAAAUUUAAGUUUUUAAUUUUAAUACCUUUUUUAAUUGCGAUAGCGCGAUGGUUUGGUUUCGGCUCAGCCCUACGGCAUUCAAAAGUCACAUUAAUAAAGUUAUUUUAAGAUAACAAGUGCUAUCUUAAGAUAACUCUAUUAAUGUGAUUUCGGAAUGCGUGUAUAUUCACAUAAAUGUCUUGAUUGUAAGAUAACUCGAGUUAUUUUAAGAUAACAUAAAUGUGAUAAUUCUAUCUUUUCUAAUGCGCAUAUGUGUAAAUGAACGUUGCUUAGGGUGCGGAUACGUAAAGUAGCUCACAAAACAACAGCCUACAUGAAUUUCCGGCCGUAUUGACAUUUAUUUUGAUACGUCAUUUGUAUUGUCCUUGUGGUGUCGCGUAUGUGCUCUGCUGUAGAGUUCGCUCUGCGGUGGAGAACAAGAUGCAUUUUGUUAGUUUUGUGUUGUGAUGUAUUGUCCCGUGUUAAUUAUGUAAAGAGAAUAAUUGUAAUUUUCGUACUAUUUUUAGUUAAAUUUUCUGCACAUCUUGCACAUCUUUUUUCUGCGCAUUCAGUCUUCAACAUGUAAUGACAGAGUCGAACAUACAUUUUUGUAUUAAAUUUGCUGUUGAGUGAAAUUUUUCUUUCAUACAUCACAGGAGUUGUCCUGUAUCUCAGCAUCUGUUUUAGUUGUUUUCUCUCACAUGUAGUUGGCUUGGCUUACGCCACUAUAUAUCUAGUUAAAUCUUGGCAUUCAUUUUUUUGCUUUGCUAAAUUGUAUUUUUGGUAAUAUAGAACAGACAGCCAAUUACUGAUAUGAAAAAUCGUAAGAAUAAUAUUAAACGAAGAUCCAUACAAUGUAAAUUGGAGAAACUGAUUACAUUACAACGAACGAGUGAAUGAUCAGUGAAAAACAAUCUAAGAAAUGUAUGGAUGCUGAGUCGUUUACAACACAUGUAAAAAAGUGCGCCAAAUAUAAUUUUUUUAAAAAAAUCUGCCGAAUUUAUGGA
This is a long non-coding RNA of Hydractinia symbiolongicarpus, 1531 nucleotides long. RefSeq lists it as uncharacterized. The transcript is spliced from 3 exons. NCBI's taxonomy places the organism in Eukaryota, Metazoa, Cnidaria, Hydrozoa, Anthoathecata, Hydractiniidae. The record is from RefSeq and is a predicted model, not a curated record.